Molecule: long non-coding RNA, 551 nt
Organism: Portunus trituberculatus (swimming crab)
Lineage: Eukaryota; Metazoa; Arthropoda; Malacostraca; Decapoda; Portunidae
Exons: 3
Source: RefSeq, a predicted model, not a curated record
UGCUACAUCUUAGGAGCUUAAACACACCACAGCUGGCCACACAUACCCCACAGCAAGGCCCCACAGCACACACUGGCCCUUCACCCCUGCCCCUUCACAAUGAGACUGUUCCCUACCCUACACUUCCACAGCAAGGCCCCACAGCACACACUGCCCCACCACAAUGAGACUGUUCCCUUCCCUGCACCUCCAACCCUGACACCACAGCAAGGCCCCACAGCACACACUGCCCCACCACAAUGAGACUGUUCCCUUCCCUGCACCUCCAACCCUGACACCACCUAACAAUUUACCUACAAGUCUAAUCAAGCUAAUCCAAACACAGUUAUAGUGAAGAUUGCAGUUUUUCUUUUUCUUUAAGUGUAAUUGAUGGUCUAGCAAGCUGUACUGUACCUAUGAAUGCUGUGAUGCAAUGAAUAUUCAAGAUUAUACAAUGAUUACCGCUAUUUGAUGCACCGUAUACAAAAAAAGUAAUUUUGUUUGAGGAAAUUAAUGCAUAUACUAUUCACUCACUCACUCUCACUCUCUCUCUCUCUCUGUCUCUCUCUCUC